Long non-coding RNA from Aquila chrysaetos chrysaetos, 135 nucleotides. RefSeq lists it as uncharacterized. Lineage: Eukaryota; Metazoa; Chordata; Aves; Accipitriformes; Accipitridae. The record is from RefSeq and is a predicted model, not a curated record. The transcript has 2 exons.
AAAAUAUAACAAAAGGCUCGUGGGUCAAGAUAAGGACAGGGAGGAUCACUCACCAUUUACUGUCAUGGGCAAAACAGACUCGACUUGGGGAAAUUGGUUUAAUAUAUUACCAAUCAAAUCGAAACAGGAUAAUGA